Long non-coding RNA from Saccostrea cuccullata (small rock oyster), 1677 nucleotides. RefSeq lists it as uncharacterized. Lineage: Eukaryota; Metazoa; Mollusca; Bivalvia; Ostreida; Ostreidae. The record is from RefSeq and is a predicted model, not a curated record. The transcript has 3 exons.
UCAUUUUUUUUUAUAAAUCAAUAAAUGAAAUACAGAUAAGAUUGAUUGUUUAAUCUUAAAAUUAAUUUUUGUUAAUUUAAAAACAAUAGUCUAAGAACUGUUCAUGUUUAAUUCUUAGGAGGAAACAACCUUACAGUACUUAAUUUACCCAGGAGUACACUACCUGUAGUUGAAAAAAGACUGAAGGCCAGACUUAGGCAGGAUGAUUGAACAAAAUCUGCUUGCAGAUGGACUAUUGAGGCAAAAAAAUUGGACUCUCAGCAGGUGAACAGAUGUUCAGCAAGAAAUUCUCACAUCAAAUGCUGUAGAUUACACUGAUAUACCCCCCUCCCCCUAAAGAAAAAAAGAACAGAGAAACCAAUCAUUAACAGCUUGAGACUUAGUGCACAUAACCUUGCUACAGAAAAAGAGAUCGAGAGAUUUGCCUAUUAACACUCCCUAAUGAAAGAUUUUAUAAAUUAUUUGUAACACAGGAGAGAUUAAAGAUGGUUUUUAUUUUCAAUUCAGCUACCAAAAAUACAAUAAUUAUAAGAUAAAUUUUGAAAGGAAGUUGAUGUAUUUUUUCUUGAAAGGAAAAGUAUCAAAUUUGUCUCAUAUACCUUUAAUAGUCAUGUCCAGAAAUACUGAAAAUAACACUUAUUUAUUAAGAAAUAUCAUAUAUUUAGAAAUCAUUGUUAUACAUAUUUAUUGUGUAUUAUUGUGUAAAUUAUAUUACUGUAUGAUUUAUGUAUAGCCUCAAAAUCUAGAAACAGUGUAUUGUUUAAAAUUUUAUGAAUAAUUGCUGAUUCUUAUACCAGUAUGUUGCGCCUUUAACAAUUAUUGUAAUUGUGUUAGCUCCGAUAAAUAUUUAUAUACAUAAUUAUACUUCUCUGGUAUAUAUACACGCAUGUGAUAUAUUUGUUCAUGUACAAUACAUCUAUUAAUUAAGAUUCCAUAAUAUAACAUAAAGUUUUGGCGUAACUCUGCAAAAAUAUACAUGUAUUUUGAUUGAGAACCUUUACUUAUUUGUAAAUAAUGAAACCAGUAUAUUUUAUAACAGAGGAAAUUCGGAUUCAAAUUUUUUGGGUUUUUUGAAACAUGGCAAUAAUUUCAACAAUUAUUUCCACAAUAAAUACAUCAUAUCACAUUUCAGAGAAAAUGUAUUUAUCUAACCGCCCAUCCUGUCUCUUAAAUUAUUAGCCUAUAUGAUAUAUUGACAGCAUUUUCUUUGUUCAAUGAUAUUUUUUAAAAUGAGGAAAUUCGAGCUAAUCUGGCAAUUUAAUGAAUAUGAAUACCCCUUCAUUUUUGUGCUUUAAAUGAUUCAUUCAACAUCUAUCUUUCCUAUGGUUGUAAAAAUAAUUUUUUCUGAAUAUAUGAUUUUAUUAAAAAAGUUAAAUGAAAAUGAACAAUUGUCAAAGACUAAAAUAUCAUUUUAUAAAGAGUACAGAGGAAAUUCGGAAUAAAUAUUUUGUGUGAUUUGUGAUCAAAAGUUUGUUAUUUUUUUACUUUAGUACAUUGCUUUAACAUAAAACUUAAGACUUAAAUUGUUUAUUCAUACCUAUUCAUCUCCAUUUUUCCAAAACAUCAAUUUUAAAAUACCAUAUUGGAUUUUCUUAAUUCCACAGGAGGAAAAAAUCUAUUUUUAGCAUCAACUUUUCAAAUGAUCUUCAAGCAAAAUCAAGGAGUAUGACCCACACC